AUAAAAUUAAACCCUAACAUUUAAUAAGAGGCUAAUUUGAAGUGUUCAUGAUUGUGUAUUUUAAAGCUGACCCUGACGAGGACAACAGACCGUAUAGAGUGAUAGAAGCUGAAGCAUCUGUCUGAGUCUCAGUCCCUCCAGGAUCACAGAAAUUAACACAAAAAUCAAAGAAACUCCAUAAUAUUCAGAUUCAAUAUUCAGCUUGCAAUCUUAUAAAAAAUUAGCUCAGAUUCUCCGCAGAUUUGGGCCAAGACGCAUCAUGUGACAUGCACAAUGUGGAUUCAGCCAAAGCCCUCUUCCAUUCAUGUUGAACAUGAGUACAGCAAAAAGGUCUCAUUUACCAACAAACAUCACUGUGAAAGACAGACAAAUACAUCACUGCAAAACAAUUUCAUGCAAUUGCAAUUUUCCAAUUCAAGUAGUUUUCCACAAAAAUCAUCGAAAACUCUGCAAGUUGCAUAACAGUUUUUUGCAGCAAAAUCAACCAUUUAAAAAGAAAAAAAUGCCACAAAAUCGUGUAUGGACUAAUUUAAGCUUUACUUUGUAUUUUUGUUUUAGGUUAUAGGUUUUUUUUUUUAGGUAUAAGACUUUAUUUUUUAACUUAGGUGAUUCCUAGUCUUAAUGUAUGUAUUUGUAUUACUUGUAUGCAUUUAUUUUCAUUAUUUAAACUUUAUUUUGCAUUAUUUAUGUUUUUUAAGCUAAAUGACUUUUAAUUUGUUUAAAUUGAAUAUUAUUUUUGAUACUGUAGCCAGCAUUUACUCAAUGUAGCAUUUGCUCAGGGAUAAAUAUGCAGUAUGGGUUGAUGCAGUGUAAUAUUUGUAAUUAAAUAGAGUAAGACUAGUAAUAUUUUAUGAAGUAAAUACUUGGGCAGAUAAGUUUUGUUUAUAAUUAUUUUUCUAAAGGGACCGAAGUGUGCUUUUGUCUGAUACAUUUUUAAUAAAACAAUAAAGUCUGUUAUAAAAAAGGUUUCAGUUUUUACUAAAUAACCAGUGGGAAAAUUACUACAUCUACAUUAUUACAUAUAGAUUCAGAAAUCCUAAAGGCAUUUAAUACUAUUCUCACAUUCAGCACACAGUCA
This is a long non-coding RNA of Ictalurus punctatus (channel catfish), 1078 nucleotides long. The record is from Ensembl. Lineage: Eukaryota; Metazoa; Chordata; Actinopteri; Siluriformes; Ictaluridae.